RNAcentral lists this small RNA (136 nucleotides) under uncultured Eubacterium sp. RNAcentral describes it as "Clostridiales-1 RNA". It matches the Rfam family "Clostridiales-1 RNA", at positions 22 to 157 of the family's 166-position model. The record is from RNAcentral. Lineage: Bacteria; Bacillati; Bacillota; Clostridia; Eubacteriales; Eubacteriaceae.
CAAAAUCAUCUGUGCUUGCACAGAAAUGAUUUUGAAAAUUAGAGGGGUGCCCACAAAUGAGCAUAAAAGACUGACAAAGUCAGUCGAUAUGCGAAUUUGUGGUUGGAUUGCGGAAAUGCAACCCACGGAGCAAUCC